Lucilia cuprina (Australian sheep blowfly) is the source of this 171-nucleotide long non-coding RNA. RefSeq lists it as uncharacterized. The record is from RefSeq and is a predicted model, not a curated record. The transcript has 2 exons. NCBI's taxonomy places the organism in Eukaryota, Metazoa, Arthropoda, Insecta, Diptera, Calliphoridae.
AUAAAUUUUAGUUUAACAAAAUGCGUAACGAACUCGUAAAUGUCCACAAGAAAACUAGAAUUAUUUUUGCAAUAUUUUUUUCCUUCUCCUCUAAAAAGAAGGUGGCAUGUUAAACAUACAUUACCCAAAGUUUUUUACCCGAAUUUGAAGCACUUCGUGUUACAAGUUGUG